Non-coding RNA from Pelobates cultripes (western spadefoot toad), 424 nucleotides. The record is from the annotation of a GenBank genome assembly. Lineage: Eukaryota; Metazoa; Chordata; Amphibia; Anura; Pelobatidae.
AUACUUCCCGACACUAUGACAUGCUGUACCUUCAUUCCAGAUAAUACAGGCCCCAAUGGUAAAGUAACCAUGGCCAUAGAGAAAUUAGAAAGUCUCUCUGCCGAAUUAAAGAAGAACUCAGGGAUCUCCAAUUCAUGGGACAAAUGGUUGGGAUGGAUGAGUGGAUGGCAGAGAGUUCUCUUUCAAGUAAGUAUGGCAGUUCUUACAGUAGUUGUUCUCCUCCUCUUCCUGGUUUGCUGCGUUAUGCCCUGGGUGCAAAGGUAUUUACAAAAGACUGUAGAUCAGACCAUUGACCGCACCACACCUACAUCAAGAUAUUGACGAUAUAGACUGUGACACACCGCACACACCUCUUCAGUCCCACCACCUCAAAAGGACAACUACUUCCUUAUAGGGAUAGCAUAGGGACAGCAUCUGUCUCCAC